This 464-nucleotide ribosomal RNA is filed under the name uncultured Klebsiella sp. RNAcentral describes it as "bacterial SSU rRNA". It matches the Rfam family "Bacterial small subunit ribosomal RNA", at positions 338 to 795 of the family's 1533-position model. Lineage: Bacteria; Pseudomonadati; Pseudomonadota; Gammaproteobacteria; Enterobacterales; Enterobacteriaceae. The record is from RNAcentral.
CCUACGGUGGCUGCAGUGGGGAAUAUUGCACAAUGGGCGCAAGCCUGAUGCAGCCAUGCCGCGUGUGUGAAGAAGGCCUUCGGGUUGUAAAGCACUUUCAGCGGGGAGGAAGGCGUUAAGGUUAAUAACCUUGUCGAUUGACGUUACCCGCAGAAGAAGCACCGGCUAACUCCGUGCCAGCAGCCGCGGUAAUACGGAGGGUGCAAGCGUUAAUCGGAAUUACUGGGCGUAAAGCGCACGCAGGCGGUCUGUCAAGUCGGAUGUGAAAUCCCCGGGCUCAACCUGGGAACUGCAUUCGAAACUGGCAGGCUAGAGUCUUGUAGAGGGGGGUAGAAUUCCAGGUGUAGCGGUGAAAUGCGUAGAGAUCUGGAGGAAUACCGGUGGCGAAGGCGGCCCCCUGGGCAAAGACUGACGCUCAGGUGCGAAAGCGUGGGGAGCAAACAGGAUUAGAUACCCGAGUAGUC